This 331-nucleotide unclassified non-coding RNA is filed under the name soil metagenome. RNAcentral describes it as "partial contains 5.8S ribosomal RNA, internal transcribed spacer 2, and large subunit ribosomal RNA". The stretch from base 1 to 120 matches the Rfam family "5.8S ribosomal RNA", at positions 35 to 154 of the family's 154-position model. The record is from RNAcentral.
GAUGAAGAACGUAGCGAAAUGCGAUAAGUAAUGUGAAUUGCAGAAUUCAGUGAAUCAUCGAAUCUUUGAACGCUCAUUGCGCCCCCUGGUAUUCCGGGGGGCAUGCCUGUUCGAGCGUCAUUUCACCACUCAAGCCUCGCUUGGUAUUGGGCAACGCGGUCCGCCGCGUGCCUCAAAUCGACCGGCUGGGUCUUCUGUCCCCUAAGCGUUGUGGAAACUAUUCGCUAAAGGGUGUUCGGGAGGCUACGCCGUAAAACAACCCCAUUUCUAAGGUUGACCUCGGAUCAGGUAGGGAUACCCGCUGAACUUAAGCAUAUCAAUAAGCGGAGGA